CAAUAGCGUAUAUUAAAUUUGUUGCGGUAAAAAAGCUCGUAGUUGGAUUUCUACCGAAGAUAGCCGGUCGGGUCUUCGACCUUGUAUCUGGUUUUGUCUUUGGUAUCCUCAUAGGGAACGUUUCUGCGCUUUAUUGCGUGGUGCGGUAUCUAUGACUUUUACUUUGAGGAAAUUAGAGUGUUCACGGCAGGCAAACGCCUUGAAUAUAUUAGCAUGGAAUAAUAACAUAGGAUCUUCGUCCUAUUUUGUUGGUUUCUAGGGCUAAGAUAAUGAUUAAUAGGGAUAAUUGGGGGCAUCUGUAUCAACGCGUCAGAGGUGGAAUUCUUGGAUUGCGUUGCGACAAACUACUGCGAAAGCAUUUGCCAAGGAUGUUUUCAUUGA
RNAcentral lists this ribosomal RNA (381 nucleotides) under uncultured eukaryote. Its description in RNAcentral is "partial 18S ribosomal RNA". It matches the Rfam family "Eukaryotic small subunit ribosomal RNA", at positions 592 to 976 of the family's 1831-position model. The record is from RNAcentral.